Argiope bruennichi is the source of this 3412-nucleotide long non-coding RNA. RefSeq lists it as uncharacterized. NCBI's taxonomy places the organism in Eukaryota, Metazoa, Arthropoda, Arachnida, Araneae, Araneidae. The record is from RefSeq and is a predicted model, not a curated record. The transcript has 3 exons.
CAUUUUAUUCUUAAUAUUUGCGGGAAUGAUUUGAUUCCUAUGAAAUUAGCUGCUAUACGUAGUUGUGCAUCGUAUUUCUGUUGUAUGUUGUGAAGCUGAUUCACUUGUUAUUGUGAGUCUCUCCGUUUACUGAAACUUUGAAUAAAUGGCUUCAAGUUGCUGCUGGAUAUCUACCUGUUACCAUUCUACGUCAAUAUCCUAAUUAGAUACUGCCUGGAUUGUGCAGACGAGAAGCUGGAAUCGCCAUAAUUCCUGCAAUGCUCCAUCAGAGGCAAUUGAAUUUCCUCCCAAGGACUGUUCAUUGUGCUUGAAGAAAGGCCUAAACUUUGACUUGGUUUGACUUAUCUUCAUGAAAUCGUGCAUCUUGCCAAUUCCUCAAGGUUCCGAAAUCAACCAGCCGGUUGGAUGGUAAAACAUUCAUUACUGAAGUACUUCUAUAUGCUUGAAUGAUCUUGGAAGUAACCCUCAUACUGUGUCCACUAUACGUGAUUUGACGAACAAUUGAACCCAAGAGCUAUGCUUUUAGUGAUCCGAGUUUUGCCUAAAAUUUGUCAAACUGUAUUUCGAUCUAGAAUUUAACUUUAAUUUAACCGAUUAUAGUAUACUCGUGUGCAGGGGAACUUCAAUGUAAUUAAUAGCGGCAAUUUCAAAUUCUUGUAAACUUUCUAAGCCUUCAUUUUUAAAUUGCUUAAAAUGAAACGGACGAAAUUACUAGAAACUGUAUUCUGUAUUGAAUUAGCGAUGAUCUGCCAAUAUAUGCCCAAAACUACCUUUUACAUUCCAGAUUAAAAUCUGUAUGUUAAAUUUGUAAAUUUAAAGUCUAUCGCGUACGAACUGCAUAUUAAACCUCUUAAUGGAUAGUUCUUUGAAUAUCUUUACUUAUCAGGUUCUUCAGCUGUCAAAAUGCCCGAAAUUCCGAUCUCGGGAUUUCAAAAUCAUUUGGCAUUAGCUUGAUUUGUUGCUAUUCCUGUUCUACUCUAUUUAGCUCACUCGCUGUAAACGUGAGGUUUAUAUAUUAUCCAGACAAUGUAUAAAUCUAAAGGCUAUGUUCUAAUUCGUAAAUCCUUAGCUUCCAAUGACACGCGCAUUAACGAAUUUUUAAAUCUUGGAUACGCGAGAGGAAGUAUUAAAUUAAAGAAUUCCACUGGUAGCCCUUCAGUAUCUCAAAUGCACCUUCUAUUAUAAGAAUUAAUAACGAUAAAUGUUCAUAAUGGGUUGUCAUCCAAUUUGGAAACUAAAUUCCCAAGUCAAAGGGUGAAAUAGCUUGAUCACACAAUUCGCGAAUUUUGGCUUCGGCUGUUAAGUACGUUCUUCUCAAACCAUUAGAGCAUUUGUACAAAAGCUUACUUCCAAAAAUUCAAUGGAAUAGAAUGUUUAGAUCUGCAAGGUAGUCAAUUUAAAAUCGCAGCAUCUUAGUAAAUUGAUUUAUUGCAUAUUCUUAAACUUCAGCAACUCUAUUAAAGCUAACUCUUUCACAUAAUAUAAAGCGCGUCGAUAAACAGCUCUUGAAUUACAAUUCUUUAAAAGAAAUCUAACCAUACCAAUUUAAAGUGUACACUAAGCGUACUGUUCAUCCUCGGAUUCGGAAAACUUAACUUUCGCACAUGCAUUUUUAAGCGUUUAUUUCGUCAAAGGAAUGAGAGGAAAGACGUUUGCAUUUAGCAAGAGGAUGAACUCGAAUAAUUCGUGGAAUUAGAUGCAAUGACGGCUCGUAUUUUAUCGUUCAACCGUCGAAAAGUAAAUCUCAGGAUCCUGAAGUGUGGAGUGGGUUGGGAGCAGAACGAGAGUUCAGUUAACAAAUCUAGGUUAUUGGAUGCCAAUAUUAAAAGUAUAAAUUACACUUACCUGGUUCAUGAUGGAUGGGUGAUGUGAUUGAAUGAAGUUUGGAGAAUGGGUAGACACUUGAUAAGUCAACGUCAGGGUUAACAUGUUGAGCUAAAUGCUAGUCCCUGUUUACUUUCCCUCUAGGCUGUUUGGGACCGGCGGUCUAAGCGGAAAGUAUCGGUCCCCAGGGAACUGGUACUUAACGUGUUAACGAAGUGGGUUGGGAGAGUGCAGCGAGUGGUCACUAAAUUAUGAGGUAUUAAAUGAGAUGGUGAUUGUAUUGGAUGAUGGAAUGAAUGUUAGUAUAGUGUGCGAGAAGUGUGAACCAGAAAAAGUGCUACUUAUACUUCAAAUAUUGGUAUAGGUUGAGGAAAAAUUUCAACUUUCACACUCUAACAUGUGAAAUUCUCAAACGUGCGAAUAGAAAGUUUUCUCGAGUUUUGGUUAGGUAAAUGUAUAUUUCAGUUUUUAUUUUAUAAGAAAUUUAUGUUCACGAUUGACAAGUAACUAACGCUUGUUUUUCACAUGUUCAUACAUAAUUCUAAAUGUGUGUAAGGGGGACAAGGGUCCUUCCUCUUCCCAUAGAAUGGAAUUGCAUAUAUGUAAUUAUAGCAUAUUGACCGUAUCUCAUACGCGUUCCAUUGAAAGGGGAAUAAACAAACCAACUAUUCAACGUAAAAAAUUUAAACGUCUUAAAUUACAUUUGACAUGGGAUGUAGUCUUUUGAAGGCUCGCGAAUGGUAGUUUGAAUUUUCAAAAAUUGGCGGUUUAAAUUUCUUGCAAUAAUUGUUUUCAGGAUGUUUUUUUCUAAAUUGAUCCUUUUUCAAACUUGUCUCUUCCGUAUUGAAUUAGAAACUUGCACUUACAGAACUGUUUGUUAGAAAGUUGAAAGUAAUAUUUGUAUCCAAUGAUGCCAUAAUUACUUACAAGAAUUCAUUUAAAAUAAAAUUUCAUCUGGAAUAGCAAUGGUCGCUAAACUCCUUAGUUAAAUGAGUAUCGCUUCUUUACCGACAUUUAUUUAAUCGCGUCUUCAAAUCUUAAAGAAGGAACUGAAUAUUCGGAUGAAGUUUUAAUGGCAACAAAUUGUCAUUGCUCCAAUCGAGUUAAAUUUCAUAAAUGGAACACUCGUAAGCCUGAAUUUUAAUCUUUUCUCAGACAACUCGCUCAAUCUCUUGAUCUACGAAUGUACUUAACUUCCUAAUUGACGCUUCCUAUUUAGAGCAUUUAUUAUUUUAAUUCCUAUAAUAAAAGAACAUUUGAGAUGUUGAAGCGUUAUUGACUUUCACAAUCUUAAUUGAUCAAUUCCAUAUCUACAAUUAAGUGGAAAUUAUUAAAUUCCUUCAUUAGAUGCGCGCUUCAGAUUAAUCAUUCUAUGGAAGGAGAAUAAUUUGCAAGUUAGUCAUUUGCCAUCGAUUCGUAUACAAGUUGCCGUCAGUCUAAAUACUUAAAUUCUGCAAUCGUCCGUUUCAUUUGAAUUCAAAACUCUAAUUAAAUAUCGGUUGCAUAUUUCCAUACUGUUCAGCUCAAAUAAAAUAUCAAUUUCUUGAAACAGGUUUAAAUGGUGCAUUCUCUAUAUUUCUUUGUAUAU